RNAcentral lists this ribosomal RNA (468 nucleotides) under uncultured bacterium. Its description in RNAcentral is "partial 16S ribosomal RNA". It matches the Rfam family "Bacterial small subunit ribosomal RNA", at positions 28 to 507 of the family's 1533-position model. The record is from RNAcentral.
GACGAACGCUGGCGGCGUGCUUAACACAUGCGAGUCGAACGGAAAGGCCCUGCUUUUGUGGGGUGCUCGAGUGGCGAACGGGUGAGUAACACGUGAGUAACCUGCCCUUGACUUUGGGAUAACUUCAGGAAACUGGGGCUAAUACCGGAUAGGAGCUCCUGCUGCAUGGGGGGGGUUGGAAAGUUUCGGCGGUUGGGGAUGGACUCGCGGCUUAUCAGCUUGUUGGUGGGGUAGGGGCUUACCAAGGCUUUGACGGGUAGCCGGCCUGAGAGGGUGACCGGCCACAUUGGGCCUGAGAUACGGACCAGACUCCUACGGGAGGCAGCAGUGGGGAAUAUUGCACAAUGGGCGGAAGCCUGAUGCAGCAACGCCGCGUGCGGGAUGACGGCCUUCGGGUUGUAAACCGCUUUCGCCUGUGACGAAGCGUGAGUGACGGUAAUGGGUAAAGAAGCACCGGCUAACUACGUG